Molecule: long non-coding RNA, 1160 nt
Filed under: Daphnia pulex (common water flea)
Lineage: Eukaryota; Metazoa; Arthropoda; Branchiopoda; Diplostraca; Daphniidae
Description: uncharacterized LOC124199644, transcript variant X1
Source: RNAcentral
UCCUACACCAGCCACCGUGUAGUGUAGUGGUAGUGGAUGGCGUAGUGUAGUGUGGUGUAGUAUGGUAAAAUCCCGAUUACACUUGCCUGGUCUCCCAUAUAGUGUAGUGUAUGGCGUAGUGUAGUGUAGCAUAGUGUAGUGAAACCGGGUUUUUUUUUUAAUUUUAUGACUCCUGAUAUAGUGUAGUGUAUGGUGUAGUGUAGUAUAGUAUAGUAUAGUGAAAACGGGUCUUUCUACAAAUGUGUCCUUCCCCUGAUCAGCAGUAGCAGUCCCCAAAUCCUACAAUUCCCUUCUAGAACUUGCCGGAAUAUUUUUUUCCCUACGUCACGACUACAACAACAUGUAUGAGCUAAUCAGGAACAUUUCGGAAUCGAUGGGGACGAUAGCUUAUCACUUUGGCGUACAAAUUAAUCAGGGACCAUUGUCGGAAGAAAACCCUGAGCCGGCUGCGUUGGCUGAACAUUUUGAGAUAGUGGAAAAAAGGGGAACGUGUGUUUGAAGAAGGUGAAUGUAUGGAUGAAGAAUGUGAACAUUUGGAUGAAGAAAUAGAACGUUUGGAUGAAGAAGGUGGGGAUGAAAUUGCCGGCAACUUGAUCUAUGCAGACGCUAAUAAUAUUCAAGAAAGGCAGUUCCCAUUAAAGAAAUUAGAGAGUUUGACAUUAUUGGAAGUUCAGCUGCAGGGACAAAACCAUUCAAAGGAGAAUUUGGCUUUAACAUUCUCGAGACGGAAUUUACAUCAGAAGACCAAGAAAUUUUCAUCAUCGGUCUUCUGGAAUACAUCUUUAAACACCGGCUGGUGAAGAUGAUAAUUUUUUCUCGAAACGUGAGAAGCCCAAAACAUCCCAUCUUAUUGUCGCCGUUGUACGACGUAAUCAAAAGAGCAGCAAUGUUGAAAUUCGGGAACAACCAAUUUGUGGACAAAGCCAUCAGAAAAUGGAUAAAGCUCCAACCCUAAGUCAGAAGGGUGAAAGAAGAGACGCAACUGAGGGAGGCCAUCCAAAUAAUGUAACAUGUAAAAAAAAAUUCUUGCCUCUACAUGGAAAUGUCCCCUUUCCCUUCGCUCCUAAGUUUCGCCCCGUUUCCUUAACCUGUGGUGUUACUUCAUGAUUUAAACUUGAAAAUCUUCCACUGAUACGCGACGUAUAAAUAAACUAAGAAAU